CACCUCUAGCAUUACCAGUAUUAGAGGCACUGCCUGCCCAGUGACAUUCGUUAAACGGCCGCGGUAUCCUGACCGUGCAAAGGUAGCAUAAUCAUUUGUUCCUUAAUUAGGGACUUGUAUGAAUGGCCACACGAGGGUUUAACUGUCUCUUACUUUCUAUCAGUGAAAUUGACCUCCCCGUGAAGAGGCGGGGAUAUAACAAUAAGACGAGAAGACCCUAUGGAGCUUAAAUUAAUUUGUCCAACAAACCUAACAUCAAUCCAACAGGAACAACACUAUUUUAACUGGACAAUAGAUUUUGGUUGGGGUGACCUCGGAGUACAACCUAGCCUCCGAGUGAUUCAAACUAAGACUUACAUGUCAAAGUCACAACACUUAUUGAUCCAAUCUUAUUGAUCAACGGACCAAGUUACCCUGGGGAUAACAGCGCAAUCCCAUUUAAGAGUUCAUAUCGCCAAUGGGGUUUACGACCUCGAUGUUGGAUCAGGACACCCAAAUGGUGCAGCAGCUAUUAAAGGUUCGUUUGUUCAACG
This 533-nucleotide ribosomal RNA is filed under the name Suncus megalurus (climbing shrew). RNAcentral describes it as "Suncus megalura (climbing shrew) partial 16S ribosomal RNA". It matches the Rfam family "Bacterial large subunit ribosomal RNA", at positions 1816 to 2586 of the family's 2925-position model. Lineage: Eukaryota; Metazoa; Chordata; Mammalia; Eulipotyphla; Soricidae. The record is from RNAcentral.